GGAGUGUAGCACAGUGGGUAAGGAACUGGGCUUGUAACCGAAAGGUCGCAGGUUCGAUUCCCACUGCCGUUAACCU
This 76-nucleotide transfer RNA is filed under the name Anguilla anguilla (European eel). RNAcentral's name for it is "tRNA-OTHER". The record is from RNAcentral. Lineage: Eukaryota; Metazoa; Chordata; Actinopteri; Anguilliformes; Anguillidae.